Molecule: long non-coding RNA, 2805 nt
Organism: Equus asinus (donkey)
Lineage: Eukaryota; Metazoa; Chordata; Mammalia; Perissodactyla; Equidae
Source: Ensembl
CAAGGCCUAAGGUUCUCACUCUGGCACCCCAGGGGGCCGGGGGGUGGUGGGGGUAAGGGCCAGGGCAAGGCUCUGUGCUUGACCCAGGAGGGCCCCUUGCGCAAGGCUUUCUGAUGCAACUGGCUGCUAGCUGAACACCUCGGCACCUCCCCACCCUGCACCCUGCAAGCUGUUCUCAGAAAGGGAAGGGCUGGACAGUGCCCUGGAUUGAACACACAUAAUCCCCUUCCUUCCCUGGCCCUGGUGGCUUCAGGGCCUCAGGGAGCGGGCAGGAAGGAAGGCAGGCAGGGCCGGGAUCAGAUGACUCAGCAGCUCAGCUGCAACUUCUGUCGGAGGGGGCGGAUCUGGGGCUCCCUCCGCCUCCCAGCUGGAAGGUAAGGGACGGAGUCAGGAUCCCGGGAAGUUCUGGGAGCCCCAUCCAACACAUACAAAGCAGCAAUUAUGUGGUUGAGCCCAGAGAGGUACUCGAGAGCCCAAGGUGACCCGACUGUCAGAGGCAAGGUCACAACCGAAACCCAGCAGUCCUCCUGCCAGCUCUAGCUCCUUCCACCUCAGGUUGGGGCGAGGACCCCUCCCCCUUGAGGAGGGCGUAGGACUUCCCCAGAACUUUCACCCAAAAUGGGCUUUGGAACCACACAGACCUGGGUUCAAACCCCAGACUUGCUGUGUGACCCUGCGUGGGCUACUUCUGCCGUCUGACACGUGGUUUUCUCACCUGUGAAAAGAGCGUAAAUUCAUCCUCAGCCCACAGGGUUGUGGUCAGGAUUACAUGAGAAAGAAGAUGGACAGCCCAGGUUGCCACAUGGGGCACGCUCAGAAGAUGUGUCCCCACCUCUCCCUUCACCCUUAGCUCUCAAGAGGGAUGAGAACAGCAACUUCGUGGGAGGGGUGAGGAUGGAGCGGGAUGAUGUGAGGAAGCACCCACACAGGGCCACGCUGGAUCCACGGGCCCGAGAAUCACAUUCUUCGUGAAGAAAACCCAGGCCCGCAGGGCCGACCUGGUUCACCCAGCAGGGCCGUGGCUGCCCCUGGGCCACCUCUGGGCAGAUGCUGUGCCCAGGCACAGGGCUUCCUGCCUUUCCUGCAUGAGCCAGAUUCAGAUGCUGAGGGAGUUCUGCAAAGCCCCUGGGAAUCGUUGGUGAACGGGGGGUGCCCGGUGUCCUGAUGAGGGCUCCCCAAGAGGAGCCUAGGCCUGCAACUCCUGAAUCACCCACUGCCUUUCCCAAAUUGCUUGGCCCAAAUCCAUUUACGCAUCUGUAUUAUUAGUUUCUCAGUGUUUUUCUCUCAAUCAGCUCAUUUUAAAAAACUUAGGUAAAUAAAAUUAAAAUGGAAAAUUUAGAUACUGACCUCAAAUGGGAAACCACUAUCAUUUCCCAUAAGGAGGAAGUCACCAUAAAAUGAAAUACAAGGAAAGCCAAAUAAGAUUCUUUGAACCUAGUAAAAUCCUGUUUCUUGCUGAAGGCUCUGAGUUGCUCUUUAUUCCUGAACAAGUGAGCCGUUAAAGGUGGAGAGGCUGUAAAACGACACUUCCUCCCCUCGGGACUGGAGGAGCAGGAAGAAAAUCAGAAGGAGAUACGGGUGUCACCGUAUGAUUCAAAGUUUAAUAGAGCCUUGAGAUGCUCCGACCCCCUGGCAUCCUCCCUCUGCUGGACAUGUCAUCUCAGAAAACACUGACUCGUCCAACUCUCUCUUCCUACUGUACAGAUAAGAAACUAAGGCCCCAGGAGGGGAAGUGACUUGCCCACCAUCUCACAGCGUCAGUGGAUUCAGCCAGACCUGGAUCUAACCAGAACUCUUUCCAAGGUGUCGUUCUACCUUCAUGGGGAGAAUUUACGAAGUCGAAGGUUCUAAGGACACCAGUGGUGGAAUUUCAGGCGUUAGGCAGGCACCGACGAGGGGCUGGAAAGGAAGGAGGCAGGCGUGGCCGCUCACAUGGCCGUCCACGGACUCCCACCGCCUCUCCUCCCGUGGAGCUCAGCCCUCCGAGUUCCUCCUCUCAGUGCUGAGGGUCAGCAGAGCUACAGCAAAUAGAAACACAGCCUGCUGGGCUCAGGCAGCCUGGUAGAGGGGCUUUCUCAGCCUGGACAGAAGGGAAUUCAUGAAAGCCAGACUCUCGACCCAGGAAAGUGCACAUUUUUGCAUUUAGUUUGGAGGAGUUGGUCACCAUUUAUUUUCUCUCCCUUUAACAAGUGCUUAUGUAUGCCAGGCUCUUCCCAAAUAUUAAGUCAUUUAAUCCUCAUGACAAACCAACGAAGGGGGGUGCUAUUAUCAUUCCCAUUUUACAGAUGAGGAAACUGAGGCACGGAGAGUUUAAGUAAGUUACCCAAAAUCUUGCUACUCAGAAGUGGUAAGAUUUGAAUCCACGAAAUGUGGUUUAACUGUAACAAGAGGCUGCCUCCAUGCAUUUAAUCCUUAGGACUACAACGCAAAGAGGGUAUAAUCAAUCCCAUCCUAUAGAUGUGGAAACUGAGGCUCAAGGCUCUGUGGCACUUAUGUUGUAGACCCCUCAGACUCUCCGCUUCCUUGCUCUGCUCCCUAGACCGUGUGCCAGGAAUUCUCACUCUAGGGCUGUGCUACUCGAUAUGGUAGCCAUUUGCUACCUGUGGCUCCUGAGCAUUUAAAAUGCAGCUGGUUGUGACUGAGGAACUGAACUUUCCAUUUUAUUGAAUUUUAAUUGUAAAACAGGUAGCAUAUUUUUUCCAUUAAACCCAACGGAAUUGUUUUGGUAAGACAAGAGUUCACUUUAACCACUGACAAUUUAGCUUCCACGCUGAUUUUGUCCAAAUCAAGUGUAAAACACACGUG